RNAcentral lists this long non-coding RNA (248 nucleotides) under Citrus sinensis (sweet orange). Its description in RNAcentral is "long non-coding RNA (CSIN_LNC002163)". Lineage: Eukaryota; Viridiplantae; Streptophyta; Magnoliopsida; Sapindales; Rutaceae. The record is from RNAcentral.
AUGUUCAUAUUAAUAAGAUAUGCUAAGAUAAUGUCAUGAGUUCAAUAUGCAAUUUGAUUGGAAAACUACAGAGAAUAAAGGUCACUUCUGAAGCUCGUGGCAUGUAUUUCAACCAAUGAGGUGAAUCUCUAGCUUGGUAACCAACGUAGCUAGUUCUCUGCACUUUUAGCUUCAGACGGCAAUGGUUCAAGUUCCCCUUUCCGAUAUCGCUUCACUGUAUCUGCAUAAUGUAAAAGUGUAUAGCAUAU